Molecule: ribosomal RNA, 498 nt
Filed under: uncultured bacterium
Lineage: Bacteria
Description: partial 16S ribosomal RNA
Rfam family: Bacterial small subunit ribosomal RNA
Source: RNAcentral
AUUGAACGCUGGCGGCAUGCCUUACACAUGCAAGUCGAACGGUAACAGGUCUUCGGAUGCUGACGAGUGGCGAACGGGUGAGUAAUACAUCGGAACGUGCCUAGUAGUGGGGGAUAACUACUCGAAAGAGUGGCUAAUACCGCAUGAGAUCUACGGAUGGAAGCAGGGGAUCGCAAGACCUUGUGCUACUAGAGCGGCCGAUGGCAGAUUAGGUAGUUGGUGGGAUAAAAGCUACACAAGCCGACGAUCUGUAGCUGGUCUGAGAGGACGAUCAGCCACACUGGGACUGAGAAACGGCCCAGACUCCUACGGGAGGCAGCAGUGGGGAAUUUUGGACAAUGGGCGCAAGCCUGAUCCAGCAAUGCCGCGUGCAGGAUGAAGGCCUUCGGGUUGUAAACUGCUUUUGUACGGAACGAAAAGCCCCGGGUUAAUACCCUGGGGUCAUGACGGUACCGUAAGAAUAAGCACCGGCUAACUACGUGCCAGCAGCCGCCGUAA